Molecule: long non-coding RNA, 1805 nt
Filed under: Homo sapiens (human)
Lineage: Eukaryota; Metazoa; Chordata; Mammalia; Primates; Hominidae
Description: HSALNT0243044
Source: RNAcentral
CUCCUGCCAACUUGGCAGCUCAUCGCUGCUGUUACUAUCAACACCUCCAAGGGAAAAGGGAGAGGAGUCAGCUCUGAUCGCCUGGCGCACUGUGCAGCAAAUUCAUGUCAGAGCCAGCCUUGGAAUGUCUCCCAAGCUCCCAAGGCUCCUGGUGAGGAGGAAAAGGAGCCUUUCUCCCAGAUGUGAAACUGAUCCUAAGACCCCCUGUAAUUUCCUGCUGAAAAUCUCCACCAAGAAACACAGCCACAGCCACAGUUCUUCCUGUGGGGGAAAAAUGAUGUCAUCAGCUGAAAGUGAGAAGCAAGGAGAACUGCGUGCAGGCCUGAAAAGAAAGGAGGCGUGAUGCAGUCAUCUGCCAGAGGGAGUAGGAGAGGCGACUUGCCUGGGGAAAACAGUGUAGGAUUGCUGGGCAGCAAUAUGGCAGCAAUGUGGUCCUCUGAGGAACGGCCACGUGAGGACACAGCAAGAAAGUAGCCAUCUACAAUUCAGGAAGAGUCUUCACCAGAAACCAAAUUGGACAGAAUCUUGGUCUUAGACUACUAGUCUCCAGAGCUGUGAGAAAAAAAAAAUCCAUGCUCAAGCCACCCACUCUAUAGCAUUUCGUUAUGGCAGCCAAGCUGAUGAGUACAAGCAUCAAAGAACUUGCAGACAUAUUUUAAUGUCACUACAAGGCCCCAGGGUUUAUGUAAGUAUAUUUAUCAUGCUGGACCAUGGAUUAUAAGCUGAGAAGUGAGGGAGGUGACAGCAUGGAGGAAUGCGUGAGUGAAAGGACUGGGGAACCAGUGUGUGGAAGGAAGUUCUCUGAGGGGAAGAGUGUAGGAGUGGGUGUACAAGGGAAGCAAGUUGAACAGAUAUGAGGUAGUGGUCAGAGAAAGCUGCUUGAAAUGGAGAUCUUGGACAUGGCACAGUUACUGCUGGUGAUAAGAUCUAGCAUUAGAUGAUGGGAGUGGGCAGCUGAGGCAGGCAGGGAGGGACAGGUCACUGGUGGUGAGAAGAUUAAUUAACUGGAGGCAGAAUGUUGGAGGGGUCAUCUAAUAGACACGGACCAGGAAUGAUGCUGAGUAUGGUGAUGAACAGACUGAUAGUGAGCCAGGUGCUCAUGUCUUUCACAAAUGGGGGAGUGAUGGGGAGAGAGUAGAUGAUUGCCACAGGGAGCAGUAGCAGGACAGAGCCUGACAGCCAGUGAGACACAAAGGGACAGUCCAGGUUUUAAUUGAGGGGGUGGGAGUUACUACUGGGUUGGCUAUUAAGGAGCCAUAUGCACAACCAAGUUAGGAGGAGAAGCAGAGGAUCUGAGUGCAUGCGUAUGCACACACACACACAAAUGCAUGUGCAUGGCAGAUGGUAAUAGCAUGUAUCUCAUAGGGCUGUUAAAAGGACCAACUGAGCUAAUACUUAGUGCUAAGACAGUGCCUGUGUGGGGUGUUUUCUGACACCAACCAACUCUCCAACAUCAACUGGGUGUCCAGCAAUUCAAUUCAAUUCAGUUCUGACACUACCGGGAGUUAGCAUCAGUUCCCACAAGUUAAAGGGAUCAAUCCCCCCACUUCCAGUGCCAGCUGCAAAUAACAAGCUACCCACACUUCUGCCCAGAUGACUACAAAUUUAGGCAUCCCCACACCACCCCCGAAGAGGUUCAGUAAUUUAUUAGGACAACUUGCAUUUAUUGGUUUAUUAUAAAGGAUACAAAUAAACAGCCAGAUAAAGAGCUACACAGGGCAAGAUCUGAAUGGAUGCCGAGUAUAGAAGCCUCUGUCUUCUGCAUUCACCAACCUUGGAACUCUUUGAAUUUCUUUGUUCAAAAG